This is a non-coding RNA of Sinocyclocheilus anshuiensis, 680 nucleotides long. The record is from the annotation of a RefSeq genome assembly. Lineage: Eukaryota; Metazoa; Chordata; Actinopteri; Cypriniformes; Cyprinidae.
UCUGCGCAUCAACUCAUCUCAUAUAUAAAUAAGAACUGCAACAGUACAAUCAUGAGUGUCAAUGUUUUUUUGCUUUUUUCUCACAGUGGGUACGGCAAUGUGUCAAGAGGUGGAGCUCUAAGAUUAGUUUGACUUGGCUUAUUUUCUAAUGUGGAAUCACACUAUCACUCUGUCAAGAGCAUCAACCAACGUGUGCCUUCCUGUCUUUCUCAUUUUGGUUCUUCAUACAGGUGACAUCCUGACAAACAUGAUAACGUUGCAUGACUCACAAAAACAAGUUUUAGAAGGUAAAAAUGUAACACUCACAUGUAACUACAGUGGAGCACCUGAUAAUCUCCACUGGUACCAUCAAUAUCCCAGAUCUACACCAAAGUUCCUCCUCUACAUCUAUGAAAGUGGGCUGAUGAGUGACAACAUACCACAGCGCUUAACACCAAGAAUUAAUAAAAACACAAAACGAGUAGAUCUGGAGAUCUCUUCUGCUGCAGUGACAGACUCUGCUGUGUACUACUGCGCUCUGAGGCCCACAGUCACAGGAAACAAAGCUACGCUGUACGAAAACAUGAAGCAGAGAGAAAUGUAUUUAGCAAAUGGAGCAAAGAUAUAUGUUUCUCAACUUGUUUUAUACAUCACAAUUUUAUUUAUAUAUACACUAACCAUUUAAUCAGUUCAGAUGAUUU